UACAGAGGGGGCAAGCGUUGUUCGGAAUUACUGGGCGUAAAGGGCGCGUAGGCGGCCCGCUAAGUCGAACGUGAAAUCCCCGAGCUCAACUCGGGAACUGCGUCCGAUACUGGUGGGCUUGAAUCCGGGAGAGGGAUGCGGAAUUCCAGGUGUAGCGGUGAAAUGCGUAGAUAUCUGGAGGAACACCGGUGGCGAAGGCGGUCUUCUGGACAGUGACUGACGCUGAGACGCGAAAGCGUGGGUAGCAAACAGG
Molecule: ribosomal RNA, 253 nt
Filed under: uncultured bacterium
Lineage: Bacteria
Description: partial 16S ribosomal RNA
Rfam family: Bacterial small subunit ribosomal RNA
Source: RNAcentral